UGAGUACGAGAUGCUACGGCAUCGAAGCAGUCUAUGUCAUACUUCCAAGAAAAGCUUGCAAUGUCAUAAACAAAUAAUGCCUGUACCAUAACCGACACAGGUGGGUAGGUAGAGUAUACUAAGGGGCGCGAGAUAACUCUCUCUAAGGAACUCGGCAAAAUGACUCCGUAACUUCGGGAGAAGGAGUGCCUUAUUUUUAUAAGGUUGCAAUAACAAGAUCCAAGCAACUGUUUACCAAAAACACAGGUCUCCGCUAAGUCGUAAGACGAUGUAUGGGGGCUGACGCCUGCCCAGUGCCAGAAGGUUAAAGAAGUUGGUUAGCAUUAGCGAAGCUGAUAACUGAAGCCCUGGUGAACGGCGGCCGUAACUAUAACGGUCCUAAGGUAGCGAAAUUCCUUGUCGGGUAAGUUCCGACCCGCACGAAAGGCGUAAUGAUUUGGAUACUGUCUCGGAGAGGGGCUCGGUGAAAUAGACUUGUCUGUGAAGAUGCGGACUACCUGCACCUGGACAGAAAGACCCUAUGAAGCUUUACUGUAACUUGAGAUUGAAAUUGGACUUUAUCUGCGCAGUAUAGGUGGGAGACGUUGAAAAUAUUCUUGCGGGAAUAUUGGAGUCAUCAGUGAGAUACCACUCUUAUAAUGUUAGAUUUCUAACUUUGUAUCAUUAUCUGGUCAAAGAACAGUUUCAGGCGGGCAGUUUGACUGGGGCGGUCGCCUCCCAAACGGUAACGGAGGCGCACAAAGGUUUCCUCUGAACGUGUAGAAAUCGUAUCUAGAGUGUAAAGGCAUAAGGAAGCUUGACUGUGAGACCUACAAGUCGAGCAGGGACGAAAGUCGGUCUUAGUGAUCUGACGGUGCUGAGUGGAAAGGCCGUCACUCAACGGAUAAAAGUUACUCUAAGGAUAACAGGCUGAUCUCCCCCAAGAGUUCACAUCGACGGGGAGGUUUGGCACCUCGAUGUCGGCUCAUCGCAUCCUGGGGCGGUAGUACGUCCCAAGGGUUGGGCUGUUCGCCCAUGAAAGCGGUACGCGAGCUGGGUUCAGAACGUCGUGAGACAGUUCGGUCCAUAUCCGGUGUAGGCGUUAGAAUAUUGAGAGGAGCCUUCUUUAGUACGAGAGGACCGAGAAGGACAUACCUCUGGUGUACCAGUUAUCGUGCCAACGGUAAACGCUGGGUAGCCAUGUAUGGAGAGGAUAACCGCUGAAGGCAUCUAAGUGGGAAGCCCACCUCAAGAUAAG
Molecule: ribosomal RNA, 1237 nt
Filed under: metagenome
Description: bacterial LSU rRNA
Rfam family: Bacterial large subunit ribosomal RNA
Source: RNAcentral